Molecule: ribosomal RNA, 375 nt
Filed under: uncultured Spirochaeta sp.
Lineage: Bacteria; Pseudomonadati; Spirochaetota; Spirochaetia; Spirochaetales; Spirochaetaceae
Description: bacterial SSU rRNA
Rfam family: Bacterial small subunit ribosomal RNA
Source: RNAcentral
UACAGCAGCCGCUUGCGGUCUGUAUACAGGUGCUGCGAUGGCUGUCGUCAGCUCGUGCUGUGAAGUGUUGGGUUAAGUCCCGGCAACGAGCCGCAACCCUAUCAUCUGUUGCCAGCAUUUAAGGUGGGGACUCAGAUGAGACUGCCGGUGACAAACCGGAGGAAGGUGGGGACGACGUCAAGUCAUCAUGGCCCUUAUGUCCUGGGCUACACACGUGCUACAAUGGCCGGUACAGAGUGAAGCGAAACCGCGAGGUGAAGCAAAACGCAGAAAGCCGGUCUCAGUACGGAUUGGAGUCUGAAACUCGACUUCAUGAAGUUGGAAUCGCUAGUAAUCGCGCAUCAGCAUGGCGCGGUGAAUACGUUCCCGGGCCUU